Molecule: ribosomal RNA, 420 nt
Filed under: uncultured eukaryote
Lineage: Eukaryota
Description: SSU rRNA
Rfam family: Eukaryotic small subunit ribosomal RNA
Source: RNAcentral
CAAUAGCGUAUAUUAAAGUUGUUGCAGUUAAAAAGCUCGUAGUUGGAUUUGUGGCUGUCACAUGCGGCUCGGCAUUCGUGCCGGUGCUUGCUAGUGUCGCCAUCCUUGGGUGGAGCCUGUGUGGCAUUUAGUUGUCGUGCAGGGGAUGCCCAUCGUUUACUGUGAAAAAUUAGAGUGUUCAAAGCAGGCUUAUGCCGUUGAAUAUAUUAGCAUGGAAUAAUAAGAUAGGACCUUGGUACUAUUUUGUUGGUUUGCGCACCAAGGUAAUGAUUAAUAGGGACAGUUGGGGGUAUUCGUAUUCCAUUGUCAGAGGUGAAAUUCUUGGAUUUACGGAAGACUAACUACUGCGAAAGCAUUUACCAAGGAUGUUUUCAUUAAUCAAGAACGAAAGUUAGGGGAUCGAAGACGAUUAGAUACCGU